Dama dama (fallow deer) is the source of this 823-nucleotide long non-coding RNA. RefSeq lists it as uncharacterized. The record is from RefSeq and is a predicted model, not a curated record. The transcript has 4 exons. Lineage: Eukaryota; Metazoa; Chordata; Mammalia; Artiodactyla; Cervidae.
GAAGUGACAAGGAAGUACCCCCUCAGCCUCAGGCCGUGGAGGGGGCCUGGCUGUCCACCAGGGCCUGCGGGUAUCCUGGCAGAGACAGGAGGUAGCACAGGCCCCAGGCGCUCGGGUGCCAGAGCCUCCUGAGAAGGAACAGGUGCGAAGCAGGGCAAUUAGCUGGGAAGGCGUCUGGGGGGCAGGCAGCCCAGAGCUGAUUGGGGAAGUCACCAGGAUUACAUCAUCGGCUGCAGGGACGAGCCUCUAAGCUUCUCCGGUGUACUUGGCACCCUGGCUUCUCUCUGGGAGGAAGGAAGAGCCUCUAUUCAUGGGCUGUGACUUGGAGAGGCCGCACGAGUCUAGUGGUGUUUGGCGCAUGGGAGGCACUUGUUUUCUAGCUGGUGAAUGAAUCAGAGUGAAAGCUUUGCCACCUCUUGCUUCUGUAUGCGCCUGAGAAUGGACCCUUGUCUAACCCACCUCUGUAUCUGUAAUAUCACCACUUCAUCUGGUACAACCCACGUGUUCAGUGACUCUACUAAACGGAUGAACAGGACCAUGAGAUGCUGCUGCUCAGCCAGUGCCCGGCAGCAUGCCCAUUUGAUGCUGUGUGGGGGCUCGGGGAUGCCUCCCGCUCCCUGAAUUCACCUCCAGCACUGUGCCUGGCACGGCAUGCUCAGAUGGGUAUCCAAGGACUCUCCUGUCCUCCCGGACUCCAAGGAGCGUGGAGUCAAGUGGAUUUGUCAUCUCUCCUCCGUCACCACCUCACCCUCUUCGUCUGUUGAGGUUCCCAUUUCAGUUUAUUAAAGACCCUUUUUCUCAGUUACAAUGGUCUAAGUCUCCU